This 430-nucleotide ribosomal RNA is filed under the name uncultured bacterium. Its description in RNAcentral is "partial 16S ribosomal RNA". It matches the Rfam family "Bacterial small subunit ribosomal RNA", at positions 29 to 505 of the family's 1533-position model. The record is from RNAcentral.
ACGAGCGCUGGCGGCAUGCCUAACACAUGCAAGUCGAACGAGACCUUCGGGUCUAGUGGCGCACGGGUGCGUAACGCGUGGGAACCUGCCCUUAGGUUCGGAAUAACUCCCCGAAAGGGGUGCUAAUACCGGAUAAUGUCUUCGGACCAAAGAUUUAUCGCCUUUGGAUGGGCCCGCGUUGGAUUAGCUAGUUGGUAGGGUAAAAGCCUACCAAGGCGACGAUCCAUAGCUGGUCUGAGAGGAUGAUCAGCCACACUGGGACUGAGACACGGCCCAGACUCCUGCAGGAGGCGGCAGUGGGAAAGAUUGAACAAGGGGGAGGAGCCAGAUCCAUCGAUGCCGCGUGAUAGGUGAGGGCCUUAGGGUUGUAAAGCUCUUUAACCGGGGCUGAUAGUGGCAGUACGGAAAGAAAGAGCUCGGGCAAACUCCG